RNAcentral lists this long non-coding RNA (1796 nucleotides) under Ursus maritimus (polar bear). Its description in RNAcentral is "lncRNA (ENSUMAG00000012112.1)". The record is from RNAcentral. Lineage: Eukaryota; Metazoa; Chordata; Mammalia; Carnivora; Ursidae.
UUUUGUUUAGCCGGAAAGGUUUCCGUGGGGUUUCAUUUGCUCAGAGAAAUAAAGAACGACUCGCGGGGGUGACUAAGACAAAUUCCUCAUUUUCAUUAUAGACUUGGAGGUGGAGUGUCUUCUCAGCGUUAGGGACCCCGAGGUUGGGUGGUAAGAGGUUCAGAGUCAGUCCUGCCCCACUUUGUGCCCACUGGUAUUAGGGACGGUAGGGCUGCAAAGGUGAGCAUCUCACUCGUCUAAGAGGUUCCUCCUUUCUUCUCUUCUCCCCCUCUUCCUCUCUGCCUACAUCCCUCACCCAGUUGACUUGUCCUUAUGUGAAUGGGAGCCAGAAAACCUUGAGAACCUCGAACCAAACAGUGGUUUCUUCCUCGACGUGGACAUGGCACAAGAGAAAAUGGAACUAGACUUGGAGCUGCUGCCGAGUUCAACCACCACAGAUGACAUGCUGAAAAGAUCCAACAGCGCCCCUUUGAUCAAUGGGCUUGGGUAUCUCCCUUGUUCCCGCUGUCCGGAGAUCUCACCCUCAGCCUUGGGGGAAGUGGGAUGGGCUGGCCGGAGGGAGAGCGCACACCUACCCCGAGGUUGACACACAUGUGAACCUGGACGUCCUCUUCUGACAGUCCACCAGGACCCAAAAGCAGCAACCUAUUGGUGUGGAGCACGACUUUUUCUAACUUCACCCCAUCUCUUACCCACUUCUUUGGAAGAAACUGAGCAUUCCCCACCCUCGCCUCCAGAUCUUCUGUGAUGACUGUAAUUUUCUGUCAUUCUCUCAGCUGCUUUGUCUCCUCUGACCUUCACCUCCAGCAAAUGGAAAUGGUUGCCAAGCAAAUAAGCUUGGACCUUUUUUACACCUAGUUUUUAUUUGAACAAAAAGUUUAGAUACCACAGAAACUUGAUCUCCUAAAUUUUGCAUUCUCAAUGGCCAACAUUGCCCCCAACUUGGUUCUUGGGGGUGUGUGAAAAAAUCCUGCUCUUUUUAUGUAUAAGCCACAGGUAUAAGUACAAAAAUUUCAUGAGAAUUUUCAAGAGGGAGUAAUUGAGGGGGGGAUAUGUCAAAAACAGCUCCUUUAGAGGGCCGAUAAUGAAAAGCAUAAGAUUUAGAAACACUGUCCUAACUUAGGUUAACUAUUUCCUGCACAUAUCCAAAAGUCUGGCAUGACACAUGCUUAUAAUUUCUUAAAAUAGAUUUUGAAAGUAAGAUCCUAGAUCUCACAUCCCAGUAUCAUAAAGUUUUAUCAGUAUUGUAAGAAUGUUUGAAAAAUGCAUUCACUCCCUGUGUUAGUAACUUUGUUCCUCCCUCUUGCUAGCAUCGUUCUAAUUGCUAGGUAUCAAUUAGAUAAAUCGCAACUGUUAGAAGUGAACUCAGAGACCAGAUCUAUCCUCCUUAUUUAACGUAUGAGGAAACUGAGGCCUAUAAGUCUCUAAAAUGACGUAGUAAUAGAGCCAGUACUAGGAACCCGUAUCUCCUGAUUCCUAAGCUAGUGAUUUGUCCACAACUAAUCAACUUCUAAGAUUUUGUUAAAGAUUUGUUUUAGAGAGAGUGCAGGUGUGUGGGGGAGGAACAGAGGGAGAGGGAGAGAGCAACUCAAGCAGAUUCUGUGAUGAGCAUGGAGUCCGACUCCGGGCUUGAUCCCACGACCUGAGCCAAAACCAAGAGUCAGAUGCUUCGCCAACUGCCCACCCAGGUGCCCCUCAACUUCUAAGCUUAUUAACUCUAAUCAAAUGCAACUUUCUGGUCAUUUGAGGUAAGGAAGAAUAUACUGUGUGAAAAUAAAAGCAAACUAAGAUUAACA